GGUUGUUUAGAGAUUGUCGACAAUGUUGUCAGUUUCUGGAAAUUGGUCUUCAUUAACGUAUCUUUUCGCCGUGCCCACACCGAAAUGAUACGUUUUUUU
Molecule: regulatory RNA element, 99 nt
Rfam family: 23S methyl RNA motif
Source: Rfam